Molecule: ribosomal RNA, 460 nt
Filed under: uncultured bacterium
Lineage: Bacteria
Description: partial 16S ribosomal RNA
Rfam family: Bacterial small subunit ribosomal RNA
Source: RNAcentral
CCUACGGGAGGCAGCAGUGAGGAAUAUUGGUCAAUGGGCGCGAGCCUGAACCAGCCAAGUAGCGUGAAGGAUGACUGCCCUACGGGUUGUAAACUUCUUUUAUAAAGGAGUAAAGUGAGGCACGUGUGCCUUUUUGUAUGUACUUUAUGAAUAAGGAUCGGCUAACUCCGUGCCAACAGCCGCGGUAAUACGGAGGAUCCGAGCGUUAUCCGGAUUUAUUGGGUUUAAAGGGAGCGUAGAUGGGGUGUUAAGUCAGUUGUGAAAGUUUGCGGCUCAACCGGAAAAUUGCAAUUGAUACUGGCCGGCUUGAGUACAGUUGAGGUAGGCGGAAUGCGUGGUGUAGCGGUGAAAUGCUUAGAUAUCACGAAGAACGCCGAUUGCGAAGGCAGCUUACUAAGCUGCCACUGACAUUGAUGCUCGAAAGUGUGGGGAUCAAACAGGAUUAGAUACCCGAGUAGUC